AGCAGCCACCUUUUAAAAAGCGUCAAAGCUUAACCUAAUUCCUCUAAAAUACCAUUAACCUUAAUGAACCCCUAAUCUAUAAUGAAUGACCCCAUAUAAAUAUGGAAGACACCAUGCUAGGAUAAGUAACAAGAAUUAAUAAUUCUCCAAAAUGCAAACAUACACCAGCAUGGAUAAACCAUUGGUAAUUACCGAAUCUGAACUUACUGCAACAACACUUACAAGAAAACCAUGCAGUAUUUGCUCGUUAACCUAACACUAGUGCAUUUCAGGAAAGAUUUAAAAAAAGAGAAGGAAUUCGGCAAAUGAAAGCCCCGCCUGUUUACCAAAAACAUCGCCUCUUGAUUUAUGAUAAGAGGUCCAGCCUGCCCAGUGAAUUUUUAACGGCCGCGGUAUCCUAACCGCGCGAAGGUAGCAUAAUCACUUGUUCUUUAAAUGGGGACUCGUAUCAACGGCAUCACGAGGGUUUUACUGUCUCCUCUUUUUGAUCAGUGAAAUUGAUCUUCCCGUGAAGAAGCGGGAAUACUCAUAUAAGACGAGAAGACCCCAUGGAGCUUAAAACCAAAUAGUAACUUAACCACAUAUUUCCUUAUAACUUUAAGCCUAUACUAUGAGGUUUUUGGUUGGGGUGACCGCGGAGUAAAACAUACCCUCCACGACGGAAAGACUACAAUCUUUAUUUAAGAACCACAGUUCUAAAAAUUAGCACACUAACGUUUACUGACCCGAUAAUCGAUCAACGGAACAAGUUACCCUGGGGAUAACAGCGCAAUCUACUUCAAGAGCCCAUAUCGACGAGUAGGCUUACGACCUCGAUGUUGGAUCAGGGUAUCCCAGUGGUGCAGCCAUUACUGAAGGUUCGUUUGUUCAACGAUUAAAACCCUACGUGAUC
This 892-nucleotide ribosomal RNA is filed under the name Polypedates leucomystax (Java whipping frog). RNAcentral describes it as "partial 16S ribosomal RNA". It matches the Rfam family "Bacterial large subunit ribosomal RNA", at positions 1111 to 2605 of the family's 2925-position model. Lineage: Eukaryota; Metazoa; Chordata; Amphibia; Anura; Rhacophoridae. The record is from RNAcentral.